This 408-nucleotide ribosomal RNA is filed under the name uncultured bacterium. RNAcentral's name for it is "partial 16S ribosomal RNA". It matches the Rfam family "Bacterial small subunit ribosomal RNA", at positions 28 to 526 of the family's 1533-position model. The record is from RNAcentral.
GACGAACGCUGGCGGCGUGCUUAACACAUGCAAGUCGAACGGAGUGGCGAACGGGUGAGUAACACGUGGGUGACACGCCCUGCAAUUCGGGAUAAGCCUGGGAAACUGGGUAUAAUACCGGAUAGUGUGGGAUGGGCCCGCGGCCUAUGGGCUUGUUGGUGGGGUAAUGGCCUCUGAAGGCUGCGACGGGUACCCGGCCUGAGAGGGUGGACGGCCUCCAGGGGACUACGGGACGGACCAGUGUGCUAUAGUGGGCAGCGGGUGGGAGUAUUGCCCAGUCGGCGGACGCCUGUUGAGACGGCCCCCCGUGGGUAAUGACGGUUUUCGGGUUAUAAACUCCUUUCACCUACGACGCGGUACAUGGAGAAGAAGCACCGGCUAACUCCGUGCCAGCAGCCGCGGUAAUAC